UAAGCGGAGGAAAAGAAACUAACAAGGAUUCCCCUAGUAACGGCGAGUGAAGUGGGAAAAGCUCAACUUUGUAAUCUGGCUCUUUCAGAGUCCGAGUUGUAGUCUCGAGAAGCAACAUCCGCAUCGGACCUUGGGUAUGUCUGUUGGAAAACAGCGUCAUAGAGGGUGACAAUCCCGUUUGUACCAAGGACGACCGCGUGCAUUGUGGUGUGCUUUCCAAGAGUCGAGUUGUUUGGGAAUGCAGCUCAAAUUGGGUGGUAAAUUCCAUCUAAAGCUAAAUAUUGGCGAGAGACCGAUAGCGAACAAGUACCGUGAGGGAAAGAUGAAAAGCACUUUGGAAAGAGAAUGAAACAGUAUGUGAAAUUGCUGGAAGGGAAACGAUUGAAGUUAGACUUGCGUGGGCCCCACUCAGCCUUUUUGGUGUACUUGGGGCCCGUUGCAGGCCAGCAUCGGUUUGCUUCGCGGAAUAAGGGUGUGCGGGAUGUAGCUUCUUCUGAAGUGUUAUAAACGCGCACUGGAUGCCGAGUCGCAGACCGAGGAACGCAGCGUGUUUGUAGUGCCUGCAGGUACAGAGCGCUUAGGAUGCUGGUAGAAUAGCUUUAAACGACCCGUCUUGAAACACG
RNAcentral lists this ribosomal RNA (623 nucleotides) under Ballistosporomyces taupoensis. RNAcentral describes it as "eukaryotic LSU rRNA". It matches the Rfam family "Eukaryotic large subunit ribosomal RNA", at positions 47 to 663 of the family's 3401-position model. Lineage: Eukaryota; Fungi; Basidiomycota; Agaricostilbomycetes; Agaricostilbales; Chionosphaeraceae. The record is from RNAcentral.